RNAcentral lists this non-coding RNA (76 nucleotides) under unclassified sequences. The record is from RNAcentral.
AUAGGAUUGCCGCCGGGUAACGUUUUGUCUCAUUCCAUUAGGCCAUAGAAGGAAUGGAGAACAAAGCGUUUUUUUU